UCUGUGUGUCCAUUCCAUGUCCAUCCCGUGUCCUGUGUCCAUCCCAUGUCCAUCCCAUGUCCGUGUGUCCAUCCCAUGUCCGUGUGUCCGUCCCGUGUCCGUGUGUCCAUCCCAUGUCCGUGUGUCCGUCCCGUGUCCGUGUGUCCAUCCCAUGUCCGUGUGUCCGUCCCAUGUCCGUGUGUCCGUCCCGUGUCCGUGUGUCCAUCCCAUGUCCGUCCCGUGUCCGUGUGUCCAUCCCAUGUCUGUCCCAUGUCCGU
RNAcentral lists this long non-coding RNA (257 nucleotides) under Manacus vitellinus (golden-collared manakin). RNAcentral's name for it is "lncRNA (ENSMVIG00005004258.1)". Lineage: Eukaryota; Metazoa; Chordata; Aves; Passeriformes; Pipridae. The record is from RNAcentral.